CAGAGGGUGCGAACGUUGUUCGGAAUUACUGGGCGUAAAGCGCGUGUAGGCGGCAACGCAAGUCGGGCGUGAAAUCCCACGGCUCAACCGUGGAAGUGCACUCGAAACUGCGUAGCUAGAGUCCUGGAGAGGAAGGUGGAAUGCUUGGUGUAGAGGUGAAAUUCGUAGAUAUCAAGCGGAACACCGGUGGCGAAGGCGGCCUUCUGGACAGUGACUGACGCUGAGACGCGAAAGCGUGGGGAGCAAACAGGAUUAGAUACCCUGGUAGUCCACGCCGUAAACGAUGAGUGCUAGGUGUCACGGGCUUUGACCCUCGUGGUGCCGAAGCUAACGCGUUAAGCACUCCGCCUGGGGAGUACGGCCGCAAGGCUA
RNAcentral lists this ribosomal RNA (372 nucleotides) under uncultured organism. RNAcentral describes it as "bacterial SSU rRNA". It matches the Rfam family "Bacterial small subunit ribosomal RNA", at positions 526 to 896 of the family's 1533-position model. The record is from RNAcentral.